Molecule: ribosomal RNA, 183 nt
Filed under: Goniomonas pacifica
Lineage: Eukaryota; Cryptophyceae; Goniomonadida; Goniomonadaceae
Description: partial Bacterial small subunit ribosomal RNA
Rfam family: Bacterial small subunit ribosomal RNA
Source: RNAcentral
AGUUGCAGGUCAGCAUACUGCGGUGAAUACGUUCCCGGGCCUUGUACACACCGCCCGUCAAGCCAUGGAAGUUGGGAGUACCUGAAGUCGGUAACCGCAAGGAGCUGCCUAGGGUAAAACCAGUAACUGGGGCUAAGUCGGAACAAGGUAGCCGUACCGGAAGGUGCGGCUGGAUCACCUCCU